This is an RNA transcript of Gastrolobium bilobum, 368 nucleotides long. It is a transcript of the gene named ATP synthase small subunit 6, mitochondrial-like, with no coding region annotated. The transcript has 3 exons. Lineage: Eukaryota; Viridiplantae; Streptophyta; Magnoliopsida; Fabales; Fabaceae. The record is from RefSeq and is a predicted model, not a curated record.
UUUCUUCAAGAGAGAAUGGAAGCGUAACUGGCCCUUUUUGGUUGGAUUCGCGAUCACCGGAACCAUAAUUACCAAGAUGUCCCUUGCUCUCACUGAGGAGGAGGCCAAAAAUUCAAAAUUCGUUCAGCACCACAAGAGGUGAUUUCUGAAUGGAAGAAUGGAACUGCCUUUGCACAUUGUAUUAGAUGUGUCAAGGGAGCUUUGCGUGUUUUAGUUUCUCAAAUUGUAAUAACAGAUGAGAGAUGUUGUAUACACUCUCAUCACGUACCUAUUUCCAAUUUUGGUUGUUUACUUAAAUGUGCUUGAGAAUUCAAUACUAAGAAGUUCUGAAUCAAUAGAUUCACUCUAUGAUUACUUUAAUGUGAUAA